Molecule: long non-coding RNA, 1631 nt
Organism: Scophthalmus maximus (turbot)
Lineage: Eukaryota; Metazoa; Chordata; Actinopteri; Pleuronectiformes; Scophthalmidae
Exons: 2
Source: RefSeq, a predicted model, not a curated record
UCUCUCCUCAUCAAUUUCUUGUUCACAUGUUUGACCGCCACCGUCCGUUUGGUUCCCUGGUGGUCACACCGCUUGACAACAGAGAAACGACCCCUAGAGAGGAGAAUGGGAGGAUGGUCAGUCAGUGUACUUCACUCAGUAGUUAUGGUUGUCAUGUUAUGACCAUUUACUCCAUCUGUAACAGAACAGAUGUAUAUGUAGGUAAGAUUCCACUACCUUCCCAGUUCCACCACGUCAGUGUAGUGAGACUCAAAGUUGUCCUUCCAGCUCACUCUGACUCCAUCAGUGGACACAGCUGAGACAAGUAACAUCACAAUCAGUUCAUGUCUUUUCUUAGCACCAGCAUUGUCAGGCCUCUGUGGCAGAAUGGAUUCUGUGUUCUCACCUAGAACUCUGAGGCUAGCCGAGGACGUGACAGUCCCCACCUCGUUCGUGGCAACACAAGUGUAAACACCAUCAUCCUCAGAGACCACACCAAUUAUUCGCAGUGUCGCUUCACCCGUAUCACUGAAAGAAACAUGCAUGUUGAUUUACAUUUUACUUCAACUUCUCCACUAUUGAGCAUCAGGUUACUUGUUAAGAUGAUCUAUGCUGGAGUCGGAUGGAGAUUUAGCAACAUUUUUGACCUGUAGGCGAUGCUGAAGUGUCCGUUGUUGGUGAGGUUGCUCUGGUCGGGUCCUUUCCAGGUAAGAGUGGCCCGGGGUCGACCACAGACCUUGCACCUAAGGGUGACACACUCUCCGCUGUCACACGUCACAUCACUCAGAGGUACAAGGAACUCCGGGGGAACUUAAAGAGAAGAAAAAAAGUCGGAGGUAAAUCCUGUCAAAUGCUGAGAUGAUACUUAUAAUUCAGGAAAAGAGUGCUUUUAAUAAUAUAUUGGUUUUAUCAUAAGUUUUAAUUUCAAAUGAACAGAAUGGCACCAAGUUCACACUUACCAUCAUAGAUGUAGUUUGGAUUUAGAAGCUGUAAGGGAAAAGGCACGAGUGUCAAAUACACCCUGGAGCAGAAGCAUGACUCGACAGUCGUCUUGGACUUUUCUCAGACGUACUGAUGAACUCACCUUUACAGAAACUUUAUUGGCCAGCCCAUCUCUGGACUUCCUGUAACCGUUCUCCAGCUUGGUCUCUUUCUUUGCCUCCUUCUCCUUCUUCUCAGACUUUUUACGGAUGCGCAGGGAUGUGUGCCAGGAUGAAGACUUCCUGCUGGGACAACAAAAGGACUAGAGUCAAAUCAAAAGGUUGAGUUAAAUAGUGCUCUUACUUGAUGGAUCCUUCGGGACAGUCGGGGACGAUGGCCGAGGUGUGUCCAAGCACAAAUCCGGGGAUCCAGCCCUCGGCAGCGGGGCCCUGCUCGGUGGCUGCCCUGAACACCAAGAACAUGUUUUGCUGGUUGCUGGCUAAGAUCUGGACCACCUCUCCCUGAGAAACGCUGAUCUCAUCCUCCUUCACAGCCAUGUAGUCCUGGGUCACCAACAUGGUGGAUACGCUACUGCUGCUGCUACUUUCACUCUGCACCACAGGAUGAAAACAUGGACAUUAGGAAGACAGUAUGUAAAGAAGCAUGUCUCAUUACAGGUAAACGUGAAAAAAAAUUUAAGUUGAAAGAAGGAUAAAAUAGUUGACAAGCCA